Long non-coding RNA from Saccostrea cuccullata (small rock oyster), 1385 nucleotides. RefSeq lists it as uncharacterized. The transcript has 5 exons. The record is from RefSeq and is a predicted model, not a curated record. NCBI's taxonomy places the organism in Eukaryota, Metazoa, Mollusca, Bivalvia, Ostreida, Ostreidae.
AUCCUUUUACAACAGGUGUCCCUGGAGUUUACAAAGUUCAAAUAUUGAGGUUUCAGAACCCCUAAUUUAAUAUCCAGUGAGUCUACGACAGAUAAAGGAUUAAGCUGACAUUAUCCACAUUGUCUUUGCAUGGUACAGUGUAGCUGCAGCUUACAAUAGAGCCAACAGCAGUAGACAUAGCAUGCUUCAUCAAAGAUGCACCAGAUGCAGUGGCACAGUCUCCAUCACUGAUGAAAUGGGAUAUGACUAGUGGACAGUCAUCACUUUGUAACUCACCAACACAAUUAGUGACCCAUCUCUUCUUGUCUCCAGUGGUGUCUCCGGAGGAAUGCUUGCAGUGCAGUCUUCAUGUCCUGGGCAGUUUGUUGCAUGUUGGUGGAUGUUGCUGUUUUAACAUUAGCACCAAGAAGUCAUGCUUUUACCUUCUACUUGUGGUACCUAAGUGACCAACAGCCAUGGUCACAUUUAGCCGUGCAACUCUUCGACCCCUUACAGAUCUUCUUACCUCUUCAUAGAGCUUUUCUCUAUGAAUGGUAUAUUGGCACUUCUUACAUUAGAUAGAAAGGAUCCAUGCCAGGCCUUGUUUUUCCUCCCCAUGCUGAUACCAGUCCAGUGAAUGGUCAUUACAGUUUGGAAACUUCACUUUUGUCCAUUAUCUAACUUUGGUUGGGAGUUCCAACCUUUGGGAGGAGGAGCCAUUUUUUUCCAUGAAUAAUAACUUUCACAGUUGGAUUGAUUAAUAAUGAUGGAUAUUCUUGGAUAACUGCAGUGAUGGACACAAACUAGCAAACAAACUUGGAUUGAUUAAUAAUGAUGGAUAUUCUUGGAUAAUUGCAGUGAUGGACACAUUAACUAGCAAACAAACUUGGAUUGAUUGAUAAUGAUGGAUAUUCUUGGAUAACUGCAGUGAUGGACACAGACUAGCACACCAUUUUUGUGAGAAACAGUGGAAAAGUUCUACAUUAGAUCAACGUUGAUUGACCAAUUAAUGCACUUAAAAAUUAAUCUUCUAAGAAUUAUGAAAUGUGUGUGAAUAAUAUGUCAGAUAUCUAAUUAAAGGGAGACUACUUCAGCAGGCCACUGUUUGUGAUACAUUUUCUUUUGUAAUUGUGUAAUUUGCAGAGCUCAAAUCCAAAAAAUAUUAAUGUUUGAAAUAUUAUGUAUUUAUAGUGAUAACAUAAUUAAUGCAAUAUUCAAUAUUUUUUCUUUCAUAAUUUCUAAUAAAAAUUUUCAAUAAGACACAUUUAUUAUAUAUACUGUAUAUUGUUGAGAGAGGGCGAGAAUUUAUUUAAACAGGUUCUUACAGCACUCCGAGAUUUUGUCAAAUUAAAUUCAUCUUAGUACAUAAUAUAAUAAAUUUUAUGAGAAUACUAUAGUAAAUCUAU